UGCGUUGAUGUUGCUCAUGCAUUGGCAGCGUUGCUCGGCUCGACGCGCGUGCGCAGCAGCGCGCCGUCGGGUUGUGCAGACCGACCUCAGCGCGU
This 95-nucleotide transfer RNA is filed under the name Xanthomonas euroxanthea. RNAcentral describes it as "tRNA-Pro". Lineage: Bacteria; Pseudomonadati; Pseudomonadota; Gammaproteobacteria; Lysobacterales; Lysobacteraceae. The record is from RNAcentral.